AUGGAACGCUGGCGGCAUGCUUAACACAUGCAAGUCGAACGGGAAACGAUGGAGCUUGGCUCCAGGCGUCGAGUGGCGGACGGGUGAGUAACGCAUGGGGAAUCUUCCUUUUGCUGGGGGAUAACGUAGGGAAACUUACGCUAAUACCGCAUAAGACCUAAGGGUGAAAGCGGGGGACCGAAAGGCCUCGCGGCAAGAGAUGAGCCCAUGUUGGGAUUAGCUAGUUGGUGGGGUAAAGGCCUACCAAGGCGACGAUCCAUAGCUGGUCUUGAGAGGAUGAUCAGCCACACUGGGACUGAGACCACGGGCCCCAGACUCCUACGGGGAGGCAGCAGUGGGGGAAUAUUGUGAACAAAUGGGGGCAAACCCCUGAUCCCAGCAAUGCCGCGUGGUGUGAAAGAAAG
Molecule: ribosomal RNA, 404 nt
Filed under: Cardiobacterium hominis
Lineage: Bacteria; Pseudomonadati; Pseudomonadota; Gammaproteobacteria; Cardiobacteriales; Cardiobacteriaceae
Description: bacterial SSU rRNA
Rfam family: Bacterial small subunit ribosomal RNA
Source: RNAcentral